UUGCUCUCGGGUGACGAGCGGCGGACGGGUGAGUAAUGUCUGGGAAACUGCCUGAUGGAGGGGGAUAACUACUGGAAACGGUAGCUAAUACCGCAUAACGUCGCAAGACCAAAGUGGGGGACCUUCGGGCCUCAUGCCAUCAGAUGUGCCCAGAUGGGAUUAGCUGGUAGGUGGGGUAACGGCUCACCUAGGCGACGAUCCCUAGCUGGUCUGAGAGGAUGACCAGCCACACUGGAACUGAGACACGGUCCAGACUCCUACGGGAGGCAGCAGUGGGGAAUAUUGCACAAUGGGCGCAAGCCUGAUGCAGCCAUGCCGCGUGUGUGAAGAAGGCCUUCGGGUUGUAAAGCACUUUCAGCGGGGAGGAAGGCGGUGAGGUUAAUAACCUCAUCGAUUGACGUUACCCGCAGAAGAAGCACCGGCUAACUCCGUGCCAGCAGCCGCGGUAAUACGGAGGGUGCAAGCGUUAAUCGGAAUUACUGGGCGUAAAGCGCACGCAGGCGGUCUGUCAAGUCGGAUGUGAAAUCCCCGGGCUCAACCUGGGAACUGCAUUCGAAACUGGCAGGCUAGAGUCUUGUAGAGGGGGGUAGAAUUCCAGGUGUAGCGGUGAAAUGCGUAGAGAUCUGGAGGAAUACCGGUGGCGAAGGCGGCCCCCUGGACAAAGACUGACGCUCAGGUGCGAAAGCGUGGGGAGCAAACAGGAUUAGAUACCCUGGUAGUCCACGCUGUAAACGAUGUCGAUUUGGAGGUUGUGCCCUUGAGGCGUGGCUUCCGGAGCUAACGCGUUAAAUCGACCGCCUGGGGAGUACGGCCGCAAGGUUAAAACUCAAAUGAAUUGACGGGGGCCCGCACAAGCGGUGGAGCAUGUGGUUUAAUUCGAUGCAACGCGAAGAACCUUACCUGGUCUUGACAUCCACAGAACUUUCCAGAGAUGGAUUGGUGCCUUCGGGAACUGUGAGACAGGUGCUGCAUGGCUGUCGUCAGCUCGUGUUGUGAAAUGUUGGGUUAAGUCCCGCAACGAGCGCAACCCUUAUCCUUUGUUGCCAGCGGUCAGGCCGGGAACUCAAAGGARACUGCCAKUGAUAAACUGGAGGAARGGUKGGGGAUGACGUUCAAGUCAUCAUGGGCCCUUACRACCAGGGCUACACACGUGCUACAAUGGCAUAUACAAAGAGAAGCGACCUCGCGAGAGCAAGCGGACCUCAUAAAGUAUGUCGUAGUCCGGAUUGGAGUCUGCAACUCGACUCCAUGAAGUCGGAAUCGCUAGUAAUCGUAGAUCAGAAUGCUACGGUGAAUACGUUCCCGGGCCUUG
RNAcentral lists this ribosomal RNA (1312 nucleotides) under Klebsiella variicola. RNAcentral describes it as "bacterial SSU rRNA". Lineage: Bacteria; Pseudomonadati; Pseudomonadota; Gammaproteobacteria; Enterobacterales; Enterobacteriaceae. The record is from RNAcentral.